RNAcentral lists this ribosomal RNA (715 nucleotides) under uncultured Caulobacteraceae bacterium. RNAcentral describes it as "bacterial SSU rRNA". It matches the Rfam family "Bacterial small subunit ribosomal RNA", at positions 28 to 776 of the family's 1533-position model. Lineage: Bacteria; Pseudomonadati; Pseudomonadota; Alphaproteobacteria; Caulobacterales; Caulobacteraceae. The record is from RNAcentral.
AGCGAACGCUGGCGGCAGGCCUAACACAUGCAAGUCGAACGAACUCUUGGGAGUUAGUGGCGGACGGGUGAGUAACACGUGGGAACGUGCCUUUAGGUUCGGAAUAACUCAGGGAAACUUGUGCUAAUACCGAAUGUGCCCCCCGAUUCAUUUUGGGGUGGGAAAGAUUUAUCGCCUUUAGAGCGGCCCGCGUCUGAUUAGCUAGUUGGUGGGGUAAAGGCUCACCAAGGCGACGAUCAGUAGCUGGUCUGAGAGGAUGAUCAGCCACAUUGGGACUGAGACACGGCCCAAACUCCUACGGGAGGCAGCAGUGGGGAAUCUUGCGCAAUGGGCGAAAGCCUGACGCAGCCAUGCCGCGUGAAUGAUGAAGGUCUUAGGAUUGUAAAAUUCUUUCACCGGGGACGAUAAUGACGGUACCCGGAGAAGAAGCCCCGGCUAACUUCGUGCCAGCAGCCGCGGUAAUACGAAGGGGGCUAGCGUUGCUCGGAAUUACUGGGCGUAAAGGGAGCGUAGGCGGACAUUUAAGUCAGGGGUGAAAUCCCGGGGCUCAACCUCGGAAUUGCCUUUGAUACUGGGUGUCUUGAGUAUGAGAGAGGUGUGUGGAACUCCGAGUGUAGAGGUGAAAUUCGUAGAUAUUCGGAAGAACACCAGUGGCGAAGGCGACACACUGGCUCAUUACUGACGCUGAGGCUCGAAAGCGUGGGGAGCAAACAGG